GAUGAACGCUGACAGAAUGCUUAACACAUGCAAGUCAACUUGAACUUCGGUUUGGGUGGCGGACGGGUGAGUAACGCGUAAAGAACUUGCCUCACAGCUAGGGACAACAUUUGGAAACGAAUGCUAAUACCUGAUAUUAUGAUUAUAUGGCAUCGUAUAAUUAUGAAAGCUAUAUGCGCUGUGAGAGAGCUUUGCGUCCCAUUAGCUAGUUGGAGAGGUAACAGCUCACCAAGGCGAUGAUGGGUAGCCGGCCUGAGAGGGUGAUCGGCCACAAGGGGACUGAGACACGGCCCUUACUCCUACGGGAGGCAGCAGUGGGGAAUACUGGACAAUGGACCGAGAGUCUGAUCCAGCAAUUCUGUGUGCACGAUGAAGUUUUUCGGAAUGUAAAGUGCUUUCAGUUGGGAAGAAAAAAAUGACGGUACCAACAGAAGAAGUGACGGCUAAAUACGUG
Molecule: ribosomal RNA, 454 nt
Filed under: uncultured bacterium
Lineage: Bacteria
Description: partial 16S ribosomal RNA
Rfam family: Bacterial small subunit ribosomal RNA
Source: RNAcentral